UACGAAGGGGGCUAGCGUUGCUCGGAAUUACUGGGCGUAAAGCGCACGUAGGCGGCUUCUUAAGUCGGGGGUGAAAUCCUGGAGCUCAACUCCAGAACUGCCUUCGAUACUGGGAAUCUUGAGUCCGGAAGAGGUGAGUGGAACUGCGAGUGUAGAGGUGAAAUUCGUAGAUAUUCGCAAGAACACCAGUGGCGAAGGCGGCUCGCUGGGCCGGUACUGACGCUGAGGUGCGAAAGCGUGGGGAGCAAACAGG
This 253-nucleotide ribosomal RNA is filed under the name uncultured bacterium. RNAcentral describes it as "partial 16S ribosomal RNA". It matches the Rfam family "Bacterial small subunit ribosomal RNA", at positions 524 to 776 of the family's 1533-position model. The record is from RNAcentral.